This 425-nucleotide ribosomal RNA is filed under the name uncultured bacterium. Its description in RNAcentral is "partial 16S ribosomal RNA". It matches the Rfam family "Bacterial small subunit ribosomal RNA", at positions 354 to 796 of the family's 1533-position model. The record is from RNAcentral.
GUGGGGAAUCUUAGACAAUGGGCGCAAGCCUGAUCUAGCCAUGCCGCGUGAGCGAUGAAGGCCUUAGGGUUGUAAAGCUCUUUCAGUGGGGAAGAUAAUGACUGUACCCACAGAAGAAGCCCCGGCUAACUCCGUGCCAGCAGCCGCGGUAAUACGGAGGGGGCUAGCGUUGUUCGGAAUUACUGGGCGUAAAGCGCACGUAGGCGGACUGGAAAGUCAGGGGUGAAAUCCCGGGGCUCAACCCCGGAACUGCCUUUGAAACUCCCAGUCUUGAGGUCGAGAGAGGUGAGUGGAAUUCCGAGUGUAGAGGUGAAAUUCGUAGAUAUUCGGAGGAACACCAGUGGCGAAGGCGGCUCACUGGCUCGAUACUGACGCUGAGGUGCGAAAGCGUGGGGAGCAAACAGGAUUAGAUACCCCGGUAGUCC